CUUCUCUCUGUGCUACAAAUUGAUUCAGAUUGAAUUGUAAAACACUUUUACCUCUUCCUAUAGAACCAUUCCCUGACACUGUCAUCACAAAAGAUGUUAUUAACUGUUCCAAGAUUGAGACUUGAGUGUAAACUGUUUUAACGAUUGCAGUCUUUAGGCUAUCCAAGGAAGAAUCCCCACAACCAUCUUCAGGGUGUCUGUGUGGUUCCAUCCACAGUAAUCUGAUUGUGAGCUUUAGGCUAUCCAUGUGGGGCCAUCCUCAACAGCAGCGAGUUAUUUUCAGGCAACAUGAACUCUGCCCUUCAUUGGUUCUCAUCAUCCAUAUCCCCUAUGUUGGAUUAUAUCAGAUAACCUCAGGUAGAGGGUAACUUUCAGCACCUCAUAACCCUGCAGAUGGUGUUUUCAGUCCAGAGUAUCCACCAGCAAAAAUAUAGUGAUUAACUUAUUGCAAAGUUUGGUCUACUCACAGGGAUGUUGGAAGCUAGCAGGUCAGACAAUAGCUGGAGAGAGAGACGGAAG
Long non-coding RNA from Ictalurus punctatus (channel catfish), 519 nucleotides. The record is from Ensembl. Lineage: Eukaryota; Metazoa; Chordata; Actinopteri; Siluriformes; Ictaluridae.